GUAUCAGAAGUGCGAAUGCUGACAUAAGUAACGAUAAAGCGGGUGAAAAGCCCGCUCGCCGGAAGACCAAGGGUUCCUGUCCAACGUUAAUCGGGGCAGGGGGAGUCGACCCCUAAGGCGAGGCCGAAAGGCGUAGUCGAUGGGAAACAGGUUAAUAUUCCUGUACUUGGUGUUACUGCGAAGGGGGGACGGAGAAGGCUAUGUUGGCCGGGCGACGGUUGUCCCGGUUUAAGCGUGUAGGCUGGUUUUCCAGGCAAAUCCGGAAAAUCAAGGCUGAGGCGUGAUGACGAGGCACUACGGUGCUGAAGCAACAAAUGCCCUGCUUCCAGGAAAAGCCUCUAAGCAUCAGGUAACAUCAAAUCGUACCCCAAACCGACACAGGUGGUCAGGUAGAGAAUACCAAGGCGCUUGAGAGAACUCGGGUGAAGGAACUAGGCAAAAUGGUGCCGUAACUUCGGGAGAAGGCACGCUGAUAUGUAGGUGAGGUCCCUCGCGGAUGGAGCUGAAAUCAGUCGAAGAUACCAG
This 525-nucleotide ribosomal RNA is filed under the name Escherichia coli. Its description in RNAcentral is "bacterial LSU rRNA". It matches the Rfam family "Bacterial large subunit ribosomal RNA", at positions 1279 to 1789 of the family's 2925-position model. The record is from RNAcentral. Lineage: Bacteria; Pseudomonadati; Pseudomonadota; Gammaproteobacteria; Enterobacterales; Enterobacteriaceae.